This 975-nucleotide long non-coding RNA is filed under the name Eptatretus burgeri (inshore hagfish). RNAcentral describes it as "lncRNA (ENSEBUG00000017100.1)". The record is from RNAcentral. Lineage: Eukaryota; Metazoa; Chordata; Myxini; Myxiniformes; Myxinidae.
GGGGAUGUCAGCGAGGAGCAAGGAGAACGGUUUCACCAGGAUAUUCGACUGAUGGAAGAGAGGUCUGUAUAGCUUCUAUUGGGUGGUGGAAGAUGUGGUAAUGGUCAACUAACCUACCCCUGCAUGCUUAAAAAUGGCAAGCCCCUCGCCUUCAGAUACCCUGACAACUGACUGGUCUAAAUGUGUCCUUUGUCAGGUGGACAGCAAAGAACAAUUGACAUGUCCCACUGAUGCAGGUUAUAAAACCAUAGCUGAGAACAUCCUUCAAUUUAAUGAACUCCGGGGGGGGGGGGGGGGGGGGGGGGGGGGGGGGGGGGGGGGGGGGGGGGGGGGGGGGGGGGGGGGGGGGGGGGGGGGGGGGGGGGGGGGGGGGGGGGGGUUACUUGAAGUUUGGUAAAAGUAAACUGGAACGUGCCAAGGAGCGGAAGCGCAAAUCUAAUGAAGAAGCAACAACUUCUAAGCAGAUUUUCACACGAAGCAGUAGUGGAGAAGCACAUACCUACAUACCUGAAGACAGCAAAAGCCCUGUGUGCUUCCUUUGUUCCAAACUGGAAACAAAUGAGAAACUUCAUGAAGUCUCCACAUUUCAAGUAGAUUUCCGUGUGCGGAAGUGUGCACAUAAGCUCCAAGAUGAGGAUCUUCUGGCAAAAUUAAGUGCAGGAGACCUUAUUGCCCUUGAGGCAAAGUAUCAUACAAGAUGCCUCACCAACUUAUACAACAGAGCACGUGGAAUGGUCCCGCAGGAGCCAGGUACCUCAAGUGAUCAAACAUGCAAAGUAUCAUACAAGAUGCCUCACCAACUUGUACAACAGAGCACGUGGAAUGGUCCCACAGGAGCCAGGUACCUCAAGUGAUCAAACAUGCAAAGGCAUCGCAUUAGAGGAGCUGAUAUCCUACAUAGAGGAAAGGAGACAAGAUGAGGACAUUAAGGUGUUCAGGCUUGCUGAUCUUACCAAGCCAUAAACCGAGAGGCUG